UUCCGGUUGAUCCUGCCAGAUCCGACUGCUAUCCGGGUGAGACUAAGCCAUGCGAGUCGAAUGGAAUGCCCUGCAUUCCAUGGCGGACUGCUCAGUAACAAGUGAUCAACUUACCCUUCAGAAGUGUAUAACCUCGGGAAACUGAGGAUAAUACACUAUAUUUGGAAAAGUCUGGAACGAUUUUCCAUUCAAAGAGUCUUCCAAUUGGGGAAAAUUUCGCUGAAGGAUAGGAUCGCUCCCGAUUAUGGUCGAUGGUGAGGUAAUGGCUCACCAUGCCUAUGAUCGGUAAGGGCCGUGAGAGCGGAAGCCCUGAGAUGGGUACUGAGACAAGGACCCAGGUCUUACGAGACGCAGCAGGCGCGAAACCUUUACAAUGCGCGAAAGCGUGAUAAGGUUACCCAGAGUGCUAGGGGGCGAAAUCCCCUAGCUGUUGUAGAGUGUAGAUAUCUCUACGAGAAAGGAGAGGGCAAGGCUGGUGCCAGCCGCCGCGGUAAAACCAGCUCUUCAAGUGGUCGGGCCAAUUAUUGGGCUUAAAGUGUCCGUAGCCGGUUUAGUAAGUUCCUGGUUAAAUUUGGCAGCUUAACUGUCACAUUGCUAGGAAUACUGCUUUACUAGGGGGCGGGAAAGGUCUGAGGUACUCCAGGGGUAGCGGUGAAAUGCGAUAAUCCUUGGGGGACCACCAGUGGCGAAAGCGUCAGACUGGAACGCGCCCGACGGUGAGGGACGAAAGCCAGGGGAGCGAACGGGAUUAGAUACCCCGGUAGUCCUGGCUGUAAACGAUGCGCGCUAGGUGUUGGUAGGGCUAUGAGCUGUAUCAGUGCCGUAGGGAAACUGUUAAGCGCGCCGCCUGGGAAGUACGCUCGCAAGAGUGAAACUUAAAGGAAUUGGCGGG
This 892-nucleotide ribosomal RNA is filed under the name uncultured archaeon. Its description in RNAcentral is "bacterial SSU rRNA". It matches the Rfam family "Archaeal small subunit ribosomal RNA", at positions 1 to 872 of the family's 1478-position model. The record is from RNAcentral.